RNAcentral lists this non-coding RNA (30 nucleotides) under Rattus norvegicus (Norway rat). The record is from RNAcentral. Lineage: Eukaryota; Metazoa; Chordata; Mammalia; Rodentia; Muridae.
UNCACUUGCUUGCAGGCUUGCGUUGUCACU